Molecule: long non-coding RNA, 1364 nt
Organism: Tachysurus fulvidraco (yellow catfish)
Lineage: Eukaryota; Metazoa; Chordata; Actinopteri; Siluriformes; Bagridae
Exons: 3
Source: RefSeq, a predicted model, not a curated record
GCACGCGCGGAGCAAGGACUCCCCCUAGUGGAGCUUUUCUUAAAGAAAUUGCAUGUGUAUAGCAAUAAUAUUGUCCUAAUAUUGUCCUUUUUCACACUCAGGCAUGCAUAGUGAUGUAGACAAAGAUGCUCAAUCAGAACUUAGAGUCACUGAAUAUAUUUAUUUUGUACAGACACCCAGUAUAUUUUACAGCAGAACAUCAUGGGCGGAAACCGGAGAACCCACAGAGAACCCACAGAGACAUGGGGGCAGCAAGUCCACACAGGCGGUCCUUAAAACAGCUCUGAUUCGUCAAGGCCUGGACUCAACAGGACCUCUGAAGGUAUGCUGUGGUAUCUGGCACUGAGACGUUAGCAUGUGGGGCCUCAUUAUUGCCUCCACUGACUCGCCCUCAUCCCAUAGUGCAUCCUGAUGUCACGUCUUCCUCAGUCUGUCUGUCUGACUGCCUGUGGAGAGCUUCUGCGAAUCCGAACUCUUCUGCAGCCCAAAGUCCUCUCACCUAGACGCAAUAAUGUGAUGAUCAUACUGAAGUAAUGCCUGCGGAUUCCGUGCCUGCUGCACCCUUCAGGAGAACAUCUUUUUGAGUCUGGAGAAAAAUCCGCCUUCCUCUUUCUCCUCCGGCUGCUCCUCGUCACGACUCUGGUCCGCUCCGGAUUCCUUCUUUGCAUGCUGAGAGCUUGCUACACGGGUACACACGGGCAAACACACACACACACACACACACACACACUUGUCCAUCUUGGCCUCUGUGUAACAUCACUGAAGAAAUGGAUGUAGCUUGAAAAGGGAACACUGUGUGCAUUGAAAGUUUAACGUAAAGAGAGUUUUGUGUGUGUGUAUGUGUGUGUGCGCACUGUACCUGGUGCUGAUCGACUCACUCCGUUCACAGACCCCUCUACAUCCGUCUCCUCCUCGGCAUAACCAAGGAUCAGAUCCCGCUGUCUCUGUGUCAGCUUCCUUCCAAAAAAAACCUAGUAUAUAUUCAUACUUCUUUCAUAUAUUCUCUAAUGUGUGUAUGUGUGUGUACGUGUGUAAAAGUCUCUUACUUGGGCACUUUGAUCUUGAUGUGAACGUAGUGGUCUCCGUAGCCAUAGCCGCUCACACGGGCGAUUCCUUUACCGCCCAGACGGAUCUUCUGGUCCGUCUGAAUCCCAGGAGGAAUCUGAGGGGUUAAAAAAAGGUGCGAUCCUCAAUGCAGGAAAAAAUAAAAGACCUCCUUCGGUACUUUUAUGAAUACCAGCUCUUCCAAAGCUUUGGAUAAAAGUAAAUAUGUUUAUCAUAUUUAUUCAUUUUGCCUGUACUAGACUCUUAGCUGGCUUUUAAACAAACAAACAAACAAACAAACAAAUAAAUAGUGCCCUCUA